Musa acuminata subsp. malaccensis (wild Malaysian banana) is the source of this 130-nucleotide non-coding RNA. Lineage: Eukaryota; Viridiplantae; Streptophyta; Magnoliopsida; Zingiberales; Musaceae. The record is from Rfam.
AGGCAGCCCCUUUGCCGGAUCAUGGCAUUGGUGGUGUUGAUUUGCUCGGAGAACAAAUCAAGCUUUUGCUCUUCAGAUCGGUUGAGAGAUUUCUUCUCCUUGAUGCUGGUCUAGUAGGCCUUAGCACAUC